Molecule: long non-coding RNA, 1572 nt
Organism: Betta splendens (Siamese fighting fish)
Lineage: Eukaryota; Metazoa; Chordata; Actinopteri; Anabantiformes; Osphronemidae
Exons: 3
Source: RefSeq, a predicted model, not a curated record
GGCCCACCGACUGGACCCGCAGCAGAUCGGAUGCGAUCCGUUUGCUGCCGCGUCGUCCCGUCUCUGAGCAGCGGGGAGGACGAUGGAGCUGAGGAGGAUCCGGAGCGAAACAAGCGAGGAAGACGCUGCAGCACCUGGAGGAAUGGAUGCAAGUGAGCAUCAGUUACAAACGUGGAAGUGAUGAGAGAAAGCAAUAAGUAACACUGAACGUCUGGAGCCCCGUACAGUAACAGUAGCUGUUGUUUCCCAUGGCAACUGGACGAUCACGCUCCUGUUGCUUAGCAAGAGAAAAUCAACGUCUUCAAUCAGAAUGUCACCAACUAAAACCGGCUGAACGUUAGCGUGCCUGCGUUUACACAAGCCUGCACGUCACACAGGACAAGCCGAACUCACAGAACAACAAUCACAGGAGGAAUAAAGUCAAAAGUGUGACAUCCAUCACAGGACAACUGGUUCACGUCGUCCUGCACUCAGACAGAGUCUGUGUUACUAACAUGUCAUGAAUGAUUGCCGUCAUCAAGCAUCACAGCGUGUGGUUCUGGUCAGAUCUGUCUCACAUCUGGUGGCAGAUGUGCAUGUCCUGCUCAGUGACCUUUGACCUCUGGCAGCUGGCCUGGCCCGUUUAGGCGGUACCGAUGCUGGAAGUGGCACAGAACGACACACACAUCAGCAUCCUGCUGCCCCAGAUACUUACUGGGGCACCAAGUGUCCUGUUUGUGCAGCUUCUAGCAGCAGUUGGGUCACGAGACGGUGAGACAGAAUAGAUAAAAUUAGCAACUAGGUUAGUGGCACUAAUGCUAGUGAUACACACAGUGAUGUUUUCAUAUAUAAUAAUGUACAAAUGCUGUGUCUGACUUACUACUUAUAACAGCUGUCAUGGGAUUGUGGGGUCUAAGAAUGAAAGGACCACACUACAACACAACAGACAAAUACACAGCACAUAAAGAAUCUGAUUAAAAGCUAGUUUGUUCUGUGAGAAAAGUCAUUCGUUUCUGCAGAGAACCACUGGGUCUCUGUAUAAACAGCAGCCGGACGAAGCUCCCAGUUAAUAAUGUGUCUGUUCCAGUGCUGUGAUCACUGGGCUCUGGCCUCUGUCACCGAGCAGGAAAUGACCGUCAUAUUCAUGAAACAUGUUUAUACAAUAUGAAACAUAUCAUAUUUCACUUUCCAUUGGCACCUCGUAGCUGAAGCUCCCUCACACCGGCCGACGCGUAGGAUCCACAACAAGGAUGUUGUACUGUGCAUUUAUUAAGUUCAUCUGUGGUUCAUAUAUUCUUUUUUAUUUAGUUUUAAUUUAUUGCUGCAGCCGAGGACACUGCUGAAAUGUGUGAAUGUCCCACUGGGAGCAAUAAAGUAUCUGUCUCUAUGUGGAGGAAGCUUCUGAGUGAAUGUUGUGGAUCAUGACCAUUGUCAUGACUCCAGCCAAUUGUAGCGCGCUGUUCUUCAUCUGCUUCCUCUUCAGCUCAUAUGGAGAAAUAAAACUAAACUGGCAAAUGAUGCGUUCGCCAGCGGAACCGCUAAAGGAGCAGGCUCAGUUCUAUUAACAGCAGUGAGAGUCAGCCCACACGAAGC